Molecule: ribosomal RNA, 908 nt
Filed under: uncultured soil bacterium
Lineage: Bacteria
Description: SSU rRNA
Rfam family: Bacterial small subunit ribosomal RNA
Source: RNAcentral
ACGAUGCUAGAGUUCAAGCGUGCUCGUCAAUCAUGGGGUACUGAGACGUAGUCGAACUGCAGCGUCGAUCCGGAGACGCGGAUGACUUCCAUGUAGCGGUGAAUGCGUAGUAUUGGACGACUCGUGGCGACGUCGGCGCCUGACUCGUAUUACGUCGAGAGCCACGUCUGCGAAGGAAUGCAUCGAUUCCCCGCAGUCACGCCGUCAACGAUGGUCCCUCGUGUCUCGCGUAUCGACACCUUUGGAGCUGAAGCUGCACGCAUUAAGUGCACCCCUGGGGAGUCACGGGAGAAACGCAAAACUCCAUAGAAUUGAUGGGGGCCCGAACAAUCGGUGGAGCAUUGCCUCCCAUUGGAAGCCACGGGCAGAACCUUACCAGUGUUUCAAGGUCUGUCUCGCUGGGACGAAAUCUUCUCUUUCCCGCUAGGGCCGGCUAGUUUUGUUCUCCAUGGACGUCGUUAGCUACUGUAGGGAGAUUUUUGGUUCACUCCCGCAAGGAGCGCCACCCCUUCUGCUAGUUGCCAAACGGUUCGCCCGGGCACUCUAGUGGGACUUCCGGGUGAUAAACCCGAGGAAGGUGGGGACGAUGUCAAGUCCUCAUGGCCUUUAUGUCCAGGCCUACACACGUGAUACAAUGGCCGGUACAAACCGCUGCAAGAGCGCAAGCUGGAGCAAAUCGGAUAAAGCCGGUCUCAGUUCGGAUUGGGGUCUGCAACUCGACCCCAUGAAGCUGGAAUCGCUAGUAAUCGCGGAUCAGCACGCCGCGGUGAAUACGUUCCCGGGCCUUGUACACACCGCCCGUCACAUCACGAAAGUCGGCUGUACCAGAAGUCGGUGUUCUAACCCGCAAGGGAGGAAGCCGCCAAGGUAUGGUCGGUAAUUGGGGCGAAGUCGUAACAAGGUAACCA